RNAcentral lists this long non-coding RNA (1948 nucleotides) under Homo sapiens (human). RNAcentral describes it as "HSALNT0061771". Lineage: Eukaryota; Metazoa; Chordata; Mammalia; Primates; Hominidae. The record is from RNAcentral.
GGCAGAUUCAAGAGAAUCAAAAUAUACUGCAUGAAAACAACCAAUUAAACAAAGAAGUUGUGAGAACACUGUAUUCCAAGAAAGAACUACUAACUGUAAUGGAGUCUGAUUUCAAGGCACCCAGUGACCAGGGCUGACAACUUGCCCCAGACCACCAGCCUCCCCACUGAGAAAGCAAGAGGACUCACAGUUCUUCAGCAUCUCAGGGAGCCUACAGUGGCAAUCCAGUUUCUUCAAAGCAUCUGUGGAUUCUCUCAGCUUUCCUGGAUAAGGGAAGAGAAAUGAAGAGAAGUUGUGAAAUUGAAUUGAGCUAAAUAUCGUUAGAGAUUCUGGAACGGGAUUCUAUGAAGGUGAUGACUGCACAGUAGCUCCCUUCCCUCCAUUACCUACUUAUUUGUGUCAGUGUCUCCUCCCUGUGUUCCUAAGAACUCUUUCCUGAAAUUCUUAGGCCCACUGUUGCCUGUGUGUAUGUGAGAUGUUGGUUUGGACAACAAAUGCAGAGCCAUGUAUCAUUUGGGCUUGAUCAUCUUUGUAAGCCAGGACUUGCAUAGCACAGAUAACAAGAACUUGACCUUCAUGCCCCUCUGUCUAGGAGAGUCCUAGUAGAUUUGGGUGUUAAAAAUCUUCCUCCAACUGCCUCAGAAGGAGACAGGUGACUCCCCUGCUUUUAUUCUACAGUCCUCUCAGAAUACCUACCAAUGUCUUAUAAUGACCCGCACAGUUUGGCAGUUCAGACCUCAUCUCUCAUUCUCUCUAAUUUCUUGCUUUUACUCUAGCCACACUGGCCUUGUUUUGUUUUGCGAACAUCUGCGGCAUACUCCCACCUCAAGAUCUUGGCAAAUGUUACAUCCUCUGAUUGGAAUGCUCUUCCCAGAUGGCCACAAGUUUUGCUCUCUGAUCUUCCUCAAAUUUUUCCUUAAAUAUAAAACUUUUUCCUGAUCAUUCUACUUAAAAUUUCAACCCCACAGUGUUUUCCUAGUUUCUUGUCUUUUACCUAAUGCACUUAUAACUUUUUAAAAUACUUUUACAGAUUGGUUUGUCGAAUGCUAUAUAUAUUAUUUCUUUAAAAUUUGUUUGCCUACAAAUGUAUUUAUUAAAUUUGUCUUCUGCCUCCCCCAAGGAAUACAAGCUUCAAUAGUUCUAAAAAAGUAAACAUAAAAUAAAAUAAAAUAAAAAUAAAAAUUCAUGCACUGGAAAGACAAAUUUAGAAUUUAAGAAUAAACUUAAAAAUAAAGAUAUUCAUGAGAAAGUGACAUUUUAAUGAAUGUUGGAAAUGUAACCAAUGCUUUUGAAUAGGAUCACUAAAGAUAAAGUGAACUCAUUCAAAUUUAACGUAUUAAUUUAAUACAUAAUAAUCCCAGCAUUUAAAGAAUUAUCUAAAAUUAUAUUCAAAUUAUGGGAGAAAUAAGUUCCCCCACAUAGGCAAGGAAAAUAUUGAAAAUAUAAUUUAAAUUAUAAUUCAAAGUAAUGGAAUCUGAAUAUUUUCCACAUCAGUGAUCCUGCACAAGUGAUUUUUCCAGUCCAUUUCCAUGAGUAAUGCAGUCCAUUUGAUUAGCUUUCAAAGUGUAGCUUCUCAAUGCUUUAGACUCACAAAUACAUGACAAGUGUUAAAAAGGUUUGCUAAUCUAUUUUAUAGUCUUCUCUUGUUCAACCCACAAUGUAAUUUUUUCAAUCAUAAUUAUACAGUGGUGUGUUGUGAAUUUGAAGAACAAAGAUUCAAAAUAUUUUGCAUUUUAGAAAUUGUCUGUAGGUUAUAGAAAUAAAGAGUAAAAAUAAUAGAAUAUUUUAAGAUGUUUGAUUAUUUCCAGUGAAGAUGUAGAAUUUGAUUCUAUUUUUAAAUUUUUUUUUAGAAUUACCAUGUGUUACAUGUGAGUUUAUUGCUAUCUGAAUUGUUACAAAGAAAGAAUCUCUGUCCAUUUUCUGUUUAUUAAAUUUAGAAUGUUAAAUG